This is a non-coding RNA of Xylaria sp. FL1777, 99 nucleotides long. Lineage: Eukaryota; Fungi; Ascomycota; Sordariomycetes; Xylariales; Xylariaceae. The record is from the annotation of a GenBank genome assembly.
GGCUCAAUGGUCUAGUGGUAUGAUUCCUGCUUCGGGUUGCUCCCUUCCAUCUUUACAUGGGAAUGCAGGAGGCCCCGGGUUCGAAUCCCGGUUGAGCCC